This 460-nucleotide ribosomal RNA is filed under the name uncultured bacterium. RNAcentral describes it as "partial 16S ribosomal RNA". It matches the Rfam family "Bacterial small subunit ribosomal RNA", at positions 338 to 795 of the family's 1533-position model. The record is from RNAcentral.
CCUACGGGAGGCAGCAGUGAGGAAUAUUGGUCAAUGGCCGUAAGGCUGAACCAGCCAAGUCGCGUGCAGGAAGAAGGAUCUAUGGGUUGUAAACUUCUUUUAUAGGGGAAUAAAGGUAUCCACGUGUGGAGAUUUGCAUGUACCCUAUGAAUAAGCACCGGCUAACUCCGUGCCAGCAGCCGCGGUAAUACGGAGGAUGCGAGCGUUAUCCGGAUUUAUGGGGUUUAAAGGGUGCGUAGGUCGUUUUUUAAGUCAGCGGUGAAAGUUUGUGGCUCAACCAUAAAAUUGCCGUUGAAACUGGAUGCCUUGAGUGUGUUUGAGGUAGGCGGAAUGCGUGGUGUAGCGGUGAAAUGCAUAGAUAGCACGCAGAACUCCGAUUGCGAAGGCAGCUUACUAAGCCAUAACUGACACUGAGGCACGAAAGCGUGGGGAUCAAACAGGAUUAGAUACCCGAGUAGUC